ACAAUCUGAAAAUUAUCUUUGGUAUUUGUUGCCUUGGAUAAGAUAAUUGUGCAGACAACAAUAAGGUACGUUUUGCUUAUCGCCAACGCUAUGUUGUUGUGCAAUAAAACCAAUGUACCAACACUG
Small nucleolar RNA from Carassius auratus (goldfish), 126 nucleotides. Ensembl annotates it as small nucleolar RNA ACA64. Lineage: Eukaryota; Metazoa; Chordata; Actinopteri; Cypriniformes; Cyprinidae. The record is from Ensembl.